AUUGAACGCUGGCGGCAGGCCUAACACAUGCAAGUCGAGCGGCAGCGGAAAGUAGCUUGCUACUUUGCCGGCGAGCGGCGGACGGGUGAGUAAUGUCUGGGAAACUGCCUGAUGGAGGGGGAUAACUACUGGAAACGGUAGCUAAUACCGCAUAAUGUCGCAAGACCAAAGAGGGGGACCUUCGGGCCUCUUGCCAUCAGAUGUGCCCAGAUGGGAUUAGCUAGUAGGUGGGGUAACGGCUCACCUAGGCGACGAUCCCUAGCUGGUCUGAGAGGAUGACCAGCCACACUGGAACUGAGACACGGUCCAGACUCCUACGGGAGGCAGCAGUGGGGAAUAUUGCACAAUGGGCGCAAGCCUGAUGCAGCCAUGCCGCGUGUAUGAAGAAGGCCUUCGGGUUGUAAAGUACUUUCAGCGGGGAGGAAGGUGCUGAGAUUAAUAACCUCAGCAAUUGACGUUACCCGCAGAAGAGGCACCGGCUAACUCCGUGCCAGCCGCCGCCGUAA
Molecule: ribosomal RNA, 506 nt
Filed under: uncultured bacterium
Lineage: Bacteria
Description: partial 16S ribosomal RNA
Rfam family: Bacterial small subunit ribosomal RNA
Source: RNAcentral